UGUUAUUAUGUGCAUUAAGGUCAAAAGACCACAAAACCAAACCAGAUACACAAACAAGUAUAUACAAUUACAAUAUAAUCACAAAGUAAGGCUCAAGUGAGCAAAGUGAAAAUGGCAUUAAAAUAAACAAGUUAAAUAGUAUUAAUAAUGGAAAAUGAAUAAAGACUUUAAUUUAAAGUGCAUAAAAGUAAAGAGCUUCAAAUUAAAUGUUAGUUAAAUGUUAGUUGAUUAGAAGUUAGUAUGACGUUUGCUUUUUG
Molecule: long non-coding RNA, 257 nt
Filed under: Lathyrus oleraceus (garden pea)
Lineage: Eukaryota; Viridiplantae; Streptophyta; Magnoliopsida; Fabales; Fabaceae
Description: Pisum sativum (pea) long non-coding RNA (PSAT_LNC034869)
Source: RNAcentral